GAUGAACGCUGGCGGCGUGCUUAACACAUGCAAGUCGAACGGGAAAUAUUUCAUUGAGACUUCGGUGGAUUUGAUCUAUUUCUAGUGGCGGACGGGUGAGUAACGCGUGGGUAACCUGCCUUAUACAGGGGGAUAACAGUCAGAAAUGGCUGCUAAUACCGCAUAAGCGCACAGAGCUGCAUGGCUCAGUGUGAAAAACUCCGGUGGUAUAAGAUGGACCCGCGUUGGAUUAGCUUGUUGGUGGGGUAACGGCCCACCAAGGCGACGAUCCAUAGCCGGCCUGAGAGGGUGAACGGCCACAUUGGGACUGAGACACGGCCCAGACUCCUACGGGAGGCAGCAGUGGGGAAUAUUGCACAAUGGGGGAAACCCUGAUGCAGCGACGCCGCGUGAAGGAAGAAGUAUCUCGGUAUGUAAACUUCUAUCAGCAGGGAAGAUAGUGACGGUACCUGACUAAGAAGCCCCGGCUAACUACGUGCCAGCAGCCGCGGUAAUACGUAGGGGGCAAGCGUUAUCCGGAUUUACUGGGUGUAAAGGGAGCGUAGACGGUGUGGCAAGUCUGAUGUGAAAGGCAUGGGCUCAACCUGUGGACUGCAUUGGAAACUGUCAUACUUGAGUGCCGGAGGGGUAAGCGGAAUUCCUAGUGUAGCGGUGAAAUGCGUAGAUAUUAGGAGGAACACCAGUGGCGAAGGCGGCUUACUGGACGGUAACUGACGUUGAGGCUCGAAAGCGUGGGGAGCAAACA
RNAcentral lists this ribosomal RNA (745 nucleotides) under uncultured bacterium. RNAcentral's name for it is "bacterial SSU rRNA". It matches the Rfam family "Bacterial small subunit ribosomal RNA", at positions 28 to 774 of the family's 1533-position model. The record is from RNAcentral.